RNAcentral lists this ribosomal RNA (472 nucleotides) under uncultured bacterium. RNAcentral's name for it is "partial 16S ribosomal RNA". It matches the Rfam family "Bacterial small subunit ribosomal RNA", at positions 30 to 507 of the family's 1533-position model. The record is from RNAcentral.
AGCGAACGCUGGCGAUAGGCCUAACACAUGCAAGUCGAACGGCAGCACAGUAAGAGCUUGCUCUUACGGGUGGCGAGUGGCGGACGGGUGAGGAAUACAUCGGAAUCUACUUUUUCGUGGGGGAUAACGUAGGGAAACUUACGCUAAUACCGCAUACGACCUACGGGUGAAAGCAGGGGAUCUUCGGACCUUGCGCGAUUGAAUGAGCCGAUGUCGGAUUAGCUAGUUGGCGGGGUAGAGGCCCACCAAGGCGUCGAUGGGUAGCUGGUCUGAGAGGGGGAACGGCCACAUUGGGACUGAGAUACGGCCAAGACGGCUACGGGAGGCAGCAGUGGGGAAUAUUGCACAAUGGGCGGAAGACUGAUGCAGCAACGCCGCGUGCGGGAUGAAGGCCUUCGGGUUGUAAACCGCUUUCGCCUGUGACGAAGCGUGAGUGACGGUAAUGGGUAAAGAAGAACCGGCUAACUACGUG